AUGGAUGGAUCAUCGCCCCUCGCCACGGGCGUUCAGCUGGGAGAAGACCUGGCUAUCGGCGAGGUCGGUCAUGCUCAGGCCCGUCUCGUCCGCGUCGUCCAUCAUCAGCAGGCUGGUGGACGAUGGCACCCACCGCGGCACGACCACGUCGGCGGGGAGCUGCGUGGCGACGGCGCCGCUGUCCUCGAACGCGUCCCUGUUGACGUGCGUCUCCUGCAGCUGCAGGCAGUACUCGAGGUUCCACAGCACGUCGCCCAUGGACGGCCGGUCCGCGCCGUAGUCGGCCAGGCACCUCUCGGCCGUCUCGGCGAACUUGCGCAGCGAGUUGUCGUUCACCUCGCCGGCGAUCCUGGCGUCGGCGAUCUUGUCGAGCUUCCCCUCCCCGUGCAUCCUGACGGCCCACUCGGCGAUGUUGAUCUGGUCGCGGUCCAGGCUCUGGUCGAUGACCGGGCGCGCGCAGAGCACCUCGAAGAGCACCACGCCGAAGGAGUAGACGUCGGAGCGGUCCGUGAGCUGCUGCGUCUUGAAGUAUUCGGGGUCGAGGUACCCGAAGCUGCCCUUGACGGCCGUGCUGACGUGCGUCUCCCCCAGCGACGGCCCGAUGCGCGAGAGACCGAAGUCGGCCACCUUGGCGAUGAUCGCGCCGCCGCCGGUGCUGCCGCCGCCGUCGGUGCCGAGGAGGAUGUUGGUGGACUUGACGUCGCGGUGGAUGAUGUUCUCGGAGUAGCCGCUGUGCAGGUAGUGCAGGCCCCUGGCGGCGCCGAUGCAGAUCUCGAGCCGCUGCUUCCACGAGAGCGGCGGCUCGUCGUCGGAGCCGCCGUACAGGUGGCCCCGCAGCGUGCCCUUCUCCAUGUACUCGUACACCAGAAUCAUCUCCGCCUGCUCGUUGCAGUAGCCGAUGAGCGAGACGAGGUGCCGGUGCCGGAUGCCGGACAGCACCACGAUCUCCGUGUGGAACUCCGGCAGGCCCUGCUUGGAGGCGCGCAUGGCGCGCUUCACAGCCACGGGCGUGCCGUCCGCGAGCGCGCCCUUGUACACGUUGCCGAACCCGCCGACGCCGAUGAGGUUGCGGUCGUGGAAGUUGUCCGUGGCGGCCUUGAGCUCCGCCAGCGAGAUGUGCAGCUUGGUGCUCACCCUCUGCAUCCUGGCGGUGGUGCCCUCGCUGGACCGGUUCGCCGACUCGUCGGCCCAGCCGGAGAUGCCUUCCUGCGUGUACGGUGA
Molecule: ribosomal RNA, 1221 nt
Filed under: Triticum aestivum (bread wheat)
Lineage: Eukaryota; Viridiplantae; Streptophyta; Magnoliopsida; Poales; Poaceae
Description: partial small subunit ribosomal RNA
Source: RNAcentral